Molecule: small RNA, 821 nt
Filed under: Pan troglodytes (chimpanzee)
Lineage: Eukaryota; Metazoa; Chordata; Mammalia; Primates; Hominidae
Description: processed transcript
Source: RNAcentral
CGGAGUUUUUAUCUUCAUCUUUAGUACUGUACUGUUCCUCAGGUUCAUUGAGGAGGCACUGAGAACAAAUGGGAUAUUUUUUCCAUGAUGAGGGAAAAAACCCCAACCCUGAGAGAGAUUCAGUGAGGAUAGCGGGAGACGGAAAAGUUAGACCUCAGAGCACUUCUCUGCCAGCUCUUCUAUUCUUUUUUCAAGUCCCUUGUGGGCAAGGAUGUGGUCGUGGAACUAAAGAAUGACCUGAGCAUCUGUGGAACCCUCCAUUCUGUGGAUCAGUAUCUCAACAUCAAACUAACUGACAUCAGUGUCACAGACCCUGAGAAAUACCCUCACAUGUUAUCAGUGAAGAACUGCUUCAUUCGGGGCUCAGUGGUCCGAUACGUGCAGCUGCCAGCAGAUGAGGUCGACACACAGUUGCUACAGGAUGCGGCAAGGAAGGAAGCCCUGCAGCAGAAACAGUGAUGGCUCCUCCUCCUCUUCCCCUCCCUCUUUCAUUGGUGACCCAUAACCCCAAGUCCCAGCCCAGAACCCCUAACCCCCAAUACUUGAAGGGGUUUUGUUUUUUUACUAAUGAUGGUUUUGUGGGUUUUUUUUUAAGGGAUGAGUGGAUGAGAGGAGUAAUAGGGAACAGCUAUCCUCUCUUGAGAAGGGGAGGAUAAGUAGGCUGGGAAACUUCAAAGCCUUCCCAGUCCCCAGCACAUGCCUUUCUCACUACUUCUCUGGAGAUGGUAGGAGAGUUUCCUAGGUCUUUCCAGGGCAGCAUGUGAUUCAUUUGGGGAUGGAAGGAAUCUGUCCCGCAUCGGGAAUAAAAUUUAUGAUGCAAA